CAAUUUGUAAAAACCCACCGUUUCUUUUAAUUUAGUAACCAAUUGACGUGGGCUUCGUUAUGAAGUUUGGACCUUAUGUUUGGAUGAAAUAUACAGUCGGCUAGCCCGAUAGGAGUUAACCAUAAUUCUCUCUUUACGCAUCGCAGAAAAGGCUAUUCCUCAUCUCCUCUCUUUGUUCGAUCCCAUCCUCUGAACUUCUUCAUCAACAACCGAACCGCUUCCAGUGAAUCGCUUUAAAUCCCUUCUUAAAUUCAUCAACCACGAUGUAGCCUUGAAUGCGAGCUUUCUUCUUUGAGUCAGUAUAAAAAGGUUAGUCUUCCUCCUCUCAAAACCAUCUUCUCAAUUCCUUAUAACAAUGGAAACUUCUUUAGUAUAAGGGAUAACUCGUAUGUAUUACUUGCCGAUCGUUCUUUUUCCACUGUGGAAGUGUGUCUGUUCAGAUUUUGGGAAGAAGAAACCUGAAACUCUGUAGCAAGAUGUUGGGUGUAUACAUGCUCCUCCUCGAAGCUAAGGUUAUUUCGUUCUUCAAGCCAUAAUCAUCGUAGUUUUGUAACAUAUGAUGGCUUAUAAACUUCAGAUUAUCAAACUUAUACUGACACAUAUUGAAUAAUAAACUCUCCACUUCAUUUUGAUUUGUGUUUAUCAAAAAUUUGAUUUUUGUAUUUCUCUUUCCUCUCUGCAAGAUCUUUUAUGAAUAGUACUACGGAUUGUUAUCGAUCGUGACUGUCUUGUUUAACACAAACCACAUGGAGAAAAUGGGUUUUUCUCUUUUAAGAUUGAUAAGUAGAAGCUUGAUCAAGAGAAAUCAUAGUUUUUUUUUCUGUUAUGAAAAUUGGUUUAUUAAAUCAUCUUUGUUUUAACAGGACAAUGGAAGUUUGAUCAUGAUUACUAAAACUUCUUUAAAGUCUACUCCAUCAAUGAUUGGCUCUUUUACUUAAAGAGUUUGACUCGGUCUCUCAUAUUUUGUCUCUGCUUUCCAAUAAACUUUCCAAUAAACAAAACACUGCUCUUCAG
This 1014-nucleotide long non-coding RNA is filed under the name Brassica napus (rape). RNAcentral describes it as "long non-coding RNA (BNAP_LNC014441)". Lineage: Eukaryota; Viridiplantae; Streptophyta; Magnoliopsida; Brassicales; Brassicaceae. The record is from RNAcentral.